GCUCAGGCUGCCUCAGUCUCACCUUCACCUACCAUGACUGAUGGCAGUGAGAGGUUGGGAAAGAGUGAAUGCAUUUCUGCUCGGCUCCAGUUUCGUCUUCCAGAUGGCAGUUCAUUAACCAACUCUUUCCCAGCGGAUACUCCUUUGGAGACCAUACGUCAGUAUAUCAUUACUCAACUAGGACUCAGCACUAGCUCAAUAACACUGUACACCACGUACCCCAGGCGAGAGCUGACUAAGGAAGACCUGGGAAAGAGUUUGACUGAG
Molecule: long non-coding RNA, 267 nt
Organism: Stylophora pistillata
Lineage: Eukaryota; Metazoa; Cnidaria; Anthozoa; Scleractinia; Pocilloporidae
Source: RefSeq, a predicted model, not a curated record